Macaca fascicularis (crab-eating macaque) is the source of this 148-nucleotide unclassified non-coding RNA. It matches the Rfam family "Metazoan signal recognition particle RNA". Rfam says of the family: The signal recognition particle (SRP) is a universally conserved ribonucleoprotein. It is involved in the co-translational targeting of proteins to membranes. The record is from Ensembl. Lineage: Eukaryota; Metazoa; Chordata; Mammalia; Primates; Cercopithecidae.
GCCAGGUGUGGUGGUGCACGCCUGUAGUCCCAGCUACUUGGGAGGCUGAGGCAGGAGAACAGCUUGAACCCAGGAGGUGGAGGUUGCAGUGAGCCAAGAUUACACCACUGCACUCCAGCCUGGGUGACAAAGCGGGACUCUGUCUCAA